Molecule: ribosomal RNA, 114 nt
Filed under: Acanthosepion pharaonis
Lineage: Eukaryota; Metazoa; Mollusca; Cephalopoda; Sepiida; Sepiidae
Source: RNAcentral
UUACGGUCAAAUCACGCUGAAACACCGGUUCUCGUACGAUCACCUAAGUUAAGCAGCGUAGAGCCAGGUCAGUACUUAGAUGGGGGACCGCCUGGGAACACCUGGUACUGUAAG